AACGCUUGAGCCAACGGCCGCACAGUGGAUCGAGUCGAUAGGACAGGUCGGACAAAAUUUGGAAACUUUGUGAGCUUAUAUCUCCGUUUAUACAAAACUUUGAGGUUCCAUCGGUUUCCUCGGUGAAAUUUUCUUCUAGUAGCACCCCUCAAAAUCGAGAAUAUGACGAAAUAAACAUCUAAAUUUGUAGUUAUAGUCAACAAUUUUAUGUCCGACCUCUCUAAUUGACUCGAUCCACUGUGGGCCGGCCGGCCGUGAUCCGAGCGCAAAUAUUUGCACUUUCGGCGGGCGUCAAGCGUCAAAGCGCGCUUAAAUCAUCAUUGAGAUUUCGGGGGGCACUGGUGACCCCGGCGGCACAAUUGGGCAAACAGCCACACGCGCCCGUUUAAAAGCAGAAAAUCGACUCCGAUUCUGGUUAAACCUCCUGUAAGACCGGGAGAUCUGUUGUGUCGCAUCGCCGUGACGAUGCACCUCAAAUCGUGGGCCACUCUCGGCGUGCUCUUGGUGGUCGUCGCUAUCGCUAGUGUAGAUGGACUGGAGGAAGAUGACACUUCUGAUCCCGCCGUUCUCGAAAGAAGAAUAGUACAGCUCGGUUUACUCGCCGCCCCGCUGAUGAAGAAGGGUGGGGAGGCAGCGGUGAAAAAGAUUAAACAAGAAAGGAAUAAGAAGAAGGAGAAAAGGAAGAGACAGAGAGAGGCUCAGCAACAGAGAGACAGGGAAGCAAAGAGGAAAAAAGAAGAGGCAGACAAAGAAGAAGAAAGCAAGAAAAAAAGUAAACGGCAGAAGAAGAAAGAAAAAGAAGAAAAAGAAAGAGAAGAAAAAGAAAAAGAGAAAAAUAACAAUUCAACCACACCGAUGGAGAACGGUGGUGGCGGUAUGCACGGGAUGGAGUCACUGAACAAGGAAGGUGGUGUCGGUGGUGGCGAAGGUGGUGGUGCCGGCGGCGGCAUGGGCGAAAAGAAAUCGUUGGAGGGUACCGGUGGUGGUGCCGAAGGCGAAAGGAAAUUGACGGAGGGCACCGGUGGUGCUGCCGGCGGAGGCCUGAGCGAGAAUAAGUUAGGAGGUGGUGAAGGUGGUGGUGUCGGUGGUGGUGAAGGAGGUGGUGUCGGUGGUGGUGCCGGCGGGGGCAUGAAGGCGCAUGGUGAAGGAGGUGGUGUCGGUGGUGGUGCCGGCGGGGGCAUGAAGGCGCAUGGUGAAGGUGGUGGUGAAGGUGGUGGUGCCGGCGGGGGCAUGAAGGCGCAUGGUGAAGGUGGUGGUGAAGGUGGUGGUGCCGGCGGGGGCAUGAAGGCGCAUGGUGAAGGUGGUGGUGUCGGCGGGGGCCUAGGCGAGAAGACGGAGGGUGGUGGUGUCGGUGGUGGUGUCGGCGGGGGCCUAGGCGAGAAGACGGAGGGUGGUGGUGUCGGUGGUGGUCUUGGUGGUGGUGAGAGUGCUGGUGGCGGUUUCAACGAUAAGAAAACAGGUGAGACCGGCACACCGGAAAGUUUAUCACCGUCACCCCCCGCAGUCUAGUCACCAUCGGGUUGAUCCGUGACCUUCAUCGGAAUACUUCAACUUCAGACGCGUUGCCCUGGCAACCCACGGCUGAACUCCGAUGGAAGAUCUCUGUACUCAAUGCGCACUGAUUUAAUUAUGAUUAAUUAGCACUGCAGCAGGACCCGCCGCGAUCACGUUCGCCCUCGUUUUUAAACAGCUCCUUUCGUUGUGAAGCCCUUCCUGAUUUACAUUGUUAAUGAGGGAGGUUUAAAAGAGCCCGUAAGGGUCCGUACAAGUAUUACGUAAGGCACUUAGGAAGGAGGGGUCCCAGCUUGCCUUACGGAGCCAUGAGAAGGGGGUAGGGGGUCAAGCCGACCUCCUCCUCUUACUAUUUCAGGGGAAAAAGUCCCCGAUUUUCUUGAAAAACACCCCUAAAAGUACCCGAAAGUCCCCAAUUUCGGUUAUUUAUAACUGAUAAACACCCUGACAAUUUUUCAAUUAUUUGCUUCUAUUUUACCAGGCUUCCUCAGUUUUUUUUCUGGAAAAAUGGGGGGCGGUCAAUCUUACGUAAUUCAAAGGGGGGCCAGAGGUUUCUUACGGGUGCCUUACAAGGGGGAAGGGGGGAGUCUAAAAGUUGGCAAAAAUGCCUUACGUAAUACUUGAACAGCCCCUAACAUUAACAUAGCAUCAUAAGAAAGAUAGUUCGACCAAUGUUGAAUGAAAUUCAACCGUAUAACUUCGCCAAAGACCCCUCCGAGGAAUUGAAAUUAUUUGCCCCUAAAGAAAAAUAAAAAAUACCGAAGAAAAUGAUCUCCACAUUCUGUGAGUUUGCACCCACUUUUAAUUUUUUUGAAAUCGAAAACUUUUUCACUUUCUGCAGUGUUAUAUCAUUACAUUUCUUCGCAAUAAUUUAUUUCCGAAAUUAUAUCAUUAAAUUUCACUCAAGACCCACCUAAAAAUUGUAAAAAGCUGUUUUUUUAAACUUUGUAAAAAAAUGUUAUUGAUAUAAAAUUUUGUUUUUUUACUUGAUGAAAUUUUUCUUAAUCCCGGUUGAUGCCGAUUGGGCAAGGCACUCAGAAAAUAUGUAUCCAUACUUUCCGUAGUUUUCUUCUUGGAAGUAAAUGGACUAAUUCGCCUGAUGGGUGAUGACCUUAUUGCUGGGCAAUCUGCUCAGCAAGCAAGACUUCGUUACGCAGGCCGACUAGUGUUGCAAACUGAUCAUCAUCAGUCGUAAUUACGUCAGUAAAAUUCGCAACAACCACUCUCAAGUUUCAAGCGAAAAAUACUGUUGAGCUCCGUUUUUGACCCAUUCCUCAUCCUACUCUUACUCCAUAAUAUAAAAUCACAAGAGAGACUCGUAACACAGAAUCUGAUCAUCCCCAAUAAUCAAAUGCGAUACGAGUGAGGAGGGAACUAUUUGAUUCAAGGUACGGAACUCAAGGUACGGAACUUAAGGCGCGUCCUAGGACGCUGUCGCCGGCGUCCGGACGCCGGCGGACGGACGCCGAUAAAAUCUGUCCAAUGAUUUUGGGUGGGGACGGCACCUUAGCGGCGAAGAGACGCUGCGGAAAACGCCGAUGGAGGACGCUCCGAUCUGUCGCCAACAGAUCGGAGCGGAGACGCCGACAAAUUACGCUCAGUCCGCUGCCUUUCCUACCGCUUUUCGAAUGUGUUUAGUUCGACAAACCCGCGAAUCGAUCACAAAAGCCGUAAAUUGAUCAAGAUAAGCUGUGAAUCGAUCGACAAUCCCGUGAAUCGAUGGAAAAGAGCCGUGAAUCGAUGCGAUCGACCCACCCGUGCAUCGAUCGACAAAAGCCGUGAAUCGAUCGACCAGGCUGUGAAUCGAUCGACAGACCUGUGAGUUGAUCGGCAAACCCGUGAAUCGAUCGACCAAGCUGUGAGUCAAUCGAAUUACGUCGAUCGGUUCACGUUUUGGUUUUUCGGUCGAUUCAUGUCGAUGGAAUUGAUACGGUUUUUUUUUUUAAAAAAAUUAAUUGUCAAUCAUUCCUCGUCGAUCGAUUCACGUUUUCCCCGAUCGAUUCAUGUCGAUCGGAUCGACACUGAUAUUUUAAGAAUUUGUCCAUCGCAUCGGUGCCGAUCGAAUCGCGUUUUUAUUUUUCGGUCGAUUCUUGUCGAUCGAAUCACGUUUUUAUCUUUCGGUCGUUUCUUGUCGAUCGAAUCCACACCCUCCUAAAAAAAAAAGCGCGUCUAGCCAUUUUCGCGGCUCAAAGCAUACUGUCCGAUCAACGAAAAUUCGAGAAAUCGACAGCGGACAGAGCGGAAAAAAUCCACGAAUUCCGCUCCUUAGGUGCCGUGCUCCAAAAUGUGAGCGUCUUCUCGCCCUCGACUCGGUAGCAGCAUUUCCCGCCGGCGUCCAGGACGCCGGCGACAGCGUCCUAGGACGCGCCUUAAGUUCCGUACCUUCAGUGGCGAGGCGUGAAUGAUCGAUUAUAGAUAUCUCCCCAUUUGAAGCUUUGGUGAAGAAUCGAUUAUUAAGGUGUUCAUCACGAACACCCUGUUUAUCGAUCCUUUUCUAUUGGUUAAAAUGGCAGCUUAAUCGAUAAAUCGCACGGCACUCCGAAUCUCACUCCAAAAUUUCUAACACUGAUUCAGGUAUUUCUGUAGUAAUACCGUGUCUCGUUUCAAUACUUCAGUUUUAUAGAAAAGUCGAUUUAGAGCUUUUGGCGAAACGAUUUUUAACUCGCGAUGAGUCCAAUAAAUGGAAAUGCAGGAAAACUCCUAAAUGAGACACUGUGUCUUUUUAACACUUACAAAAUACAAUGUUUGAAAGCAUGUUGAAAUUUCUUAAAAAAAUACUAGUUUUUCUUCAUAAAGACUUUUUCAAUGUAAAUUUUACUAAAGGUAAAUGCUUAUUAUGCCUUGUCUUAACGGGACAUUUCAUGGGAUCUGUCCCAAGGAAAAAUCUCACUUGCGAAGUUGGGAAAAUUAUGGAGUUAGUCAAUACUAAUCACAGUGCCAACUAAGAGUCAUUGUGGAGUCUCAGAAAUGACUUAAAAAGAAGAAGAAGAAAUUUGGUUGUGUUGCUUAACGGGGAAAAAGCCAAGAAGUUUCAUUCCUGCAACUCGAACUUGGGGAAAACCCCGUGAAACGUCCCGUGGAGACAAGGAUUUAGAAAAAUCCAAAAAUAAAAUCCUAAAACCUAACUCAUGAUAGUUUUUUUAAGUUUUGAAAAAUGCUUCUAAACUGUAUCGUCGUUGUUUCGGCACCCCUGAGUUUUAAACGGUUAAGGUGUUUCUUCUCCCCUUUGGAGAACGAUUCGAUGGACGAUCGAUCAAUCGAUAAAUUUCUGGACAUUAGGACAUUUCUUAAGAGUUUCCGAGCACCACAUCACGCUGCAGUACGUCCGAUAUUUGUACACAAAAUUUGACUGAGAAGCCCUUCAAAAUAACUCCGAAAGUAUGUUCCGAUGGAAUAUCGCAAAUCAAAAACCAAAAUGAUCUACCAUGAUCACUCGAAACUUAUAUUUAAAGCUAUUUCAAUUUGUUUCUUUGGUCAAAUUUGUACCUAUCUGACGCGGUAUAGUGUGAUGUAAUGCUUAGAAAGUUUGAAGAAAUGUCCAAUAAUUCAGAAAUUAUGAAUUGAUCGAUCGACUACAGGUUGAUAUUUCCCCCAUUUGAAGAUAAGGUAAAUAAUAGAUUAUUGAGGUAUUCGUUGCGAAUACCCUGUUAAUCGAUCCUUUCCGAUAGGUUUCAAUGGCAGAUUAAUCGAUUUAUCAAAAAGUACGCCACGCCACAAUCUACAGAGUCCUACAGAUCCAUCUUAAGCUCGACUGAAGUUAGCUUUACUGAUCACAAACCGGCAACGUUCCAAAUCAACAUUCCACAUUGAGAUCAUCCCACCGGUGAAAAAGCGAGAGCAAAAAAUUAAGACGCGUGCUCAAAGGAACGAGUGUCUUGAAAAUGCAGAUAUACUUGGACGUGUUUCUGCCAAACGGAACUAUGUGCAUUAUGUCGUGAGCCCCGUUAUGCAUACAUUCGUAUGGGUCUCAGGGCUCAUGUCUUAAUGCACAUGGUUCUGUUC
RNAcentral lists this long non-coding RNA (5514 nucleotides) under Bemisia tabaci. RNAcentral's name for it is "lncRNA ENSSSA1NGG003192". The record is from RNAcentral. Lineage: Eukaryota; Metazoa; Arthropoda; Insecta; Hemiptera; Aleyrodidae.